GACGAACGCUGGCGGCGUGCUUAACACAUGCAAGUCGAACGGUAAGGCCCUUCGGGGUACACGAGUGGCGAACGGGUGAGUAACACGUGGGUGAUCUACCCUGCACUUCGGGAUAAGCCUGGGAAACUGGGUCUAAUACCGGAUAGGACCCUGGGAUGCAUGUCCUGGGGUGGAAAGCUUUUGCGGUGUGGGAUGGGCCCGCGGCCUAUCAGCUUGUUGGUGGGGUGAUGGCCUACCAAGGCGACGACGGGUAGCCGGCCUGAGGGGGUGACCGGCCACACUGGGACUGAGAUACGGCCCAGACUCCUACGGGAGGCAGCAGUGGGGAAUAUUGCACAAUGGGCGCAAGCCUGAUGCAGCGACGCCGCGUGAGGGAUGACGGCCUUCGGGUUGUAAACCUCUCUCAGCACCGACGAAGCGCAAGUGACGGUAGGUGCAGAAGGAGGACCGGCCAACUACGUGCCAGCCGCCGCCGUAA
RNAcentral lists this ribosomal RNA (478 nucleotides) under uncultured bacterium. RNAcentral's name for it is "partial 16S ribosomal RNA". It matches the Rfam family "Bacterial small subunit ribosomal RNA", at positions 28 to 523 of the family's 1533-position model. The record is from RNAcentral.